Molecule: ribosomal RNA, 520 nt
Filed under: uncultured Gigaspora
Lineage: Eukaryota; Fungi; Glomeromycota; Glomeromycetes; Diversisporales; Gigasporaceae
Description: SSU rRNA
Rfam family: Eukaryotic small subunit ribosomal RNA
Source: RNAcentral
AGCAGCCGCGGUAAUUCCAGCUCCAAUAGCGUAUAUUAAAGUUGUUGCAGUUAAAAAGCUCGUAGUUGAAUUUCGGGGUUCUACCGUCGGUCGGGCUAACAAGUCUGUACUGGUGUGUAGAACUUCUACCUUCUGGGGAACUAUCAUGUUAUUAAUUUAGCGUGGUAGGAAACCAGGACCUUUACCUUGAAAAAUUAGAGUGUUCAAAGACAGGCUUAAGUCUGAAUACAUUAGCAUGGAAUAAUAGAAUAGGACGGUGGUCCUGUUUUGUUGGUUUCUGAAUCACCGUAAUGAUUAAUAGGGAUAGUUGGGGGCAUUAGUAUUCAAUUGUCAGAGGUGAAAUUCUUGGAUUUAUUGAAGACUAAACUUCUGCGUAAAGCAUUUGCCAAGGAUGUUUCAUUAAUCAAGAACGAAAGUUAGGGGAUCGAAGGCGAUCAGAUACCGUCGUAGUCUUAACCAUAAACUAUGCCGACUAGGGAUCGGACGAUGUUAAAUUUUAUUAGACUCGUUCGGCGCCUUA